AAGUCGUAACAAGGUUUCCGUAGGUGAACCUGCGGAAGGAUCAUUAUUGAAUUCCAACUGGGCGAGAUUGCUGCUGGCUCUCGGGCAUGGUGCACAUCUCAUUCAUUUACCUCUCAUCCUCUGUGCACUUUUUCACAGGACAGCUGGUGGUUGUAGGCUUCAUUGUCUAUGGCUACAGGUUGCUUUGUGUGCUUUAUAAACUCAUAAUCAAGUUCAGAAUGUCUAUUGUGUAUCCACACAUUUUAAAUACAA
This 252-nucleotide unclassified non-coding RNA is filed under the name plant metagenome. RNAcentral describes it as "partial contains small subunit ribosomal RNA and internal transcribed spacer 1". The stretch from base 1 to 46 matches the Rfam family "Eukaryotic small subunit ribosomal RNA", at positions 1786 to 1831 of the family's 1831-position model. The record is from RNAcentral.